Molecule: long non-coding RNA, 396 nt
Organism: Nerophis ophidion (straightnose pipefish)
Lineage: Eukaryota; Metazoa; Chordata; Actinopteri; Syngnathiformes; Syngnathidae
Exons: 4
Source: RefSeq, a predicted model, not a curated record
CUUCAGUGCUGGCCGGGUCAUUCUACUUUUGCGACUGAUGCUUCCUGUGCUGUUUUUUGUUUGUUUGUUCCAUGCUUCUUUGUUAACAUCCAUCCAUUUUCUACCGCUUAUUCCCUUUGGGGUCGCGGGGAGCGCUGGUGCCUGUCUCAGCUACAAUCGGGCGGAAGACGGUGUUCACCCUGGACACCUCAACGCAGGGCUGCGGGUUAACAAAAGUCUGUUUCAUGAAGAAACCUGAUUGCCCUCUCAACGGAAGGUGCCUACAGACAUCAGUCGUUUACCAAGCAAAGAAGAGCCACUUGCAAAGAGGAGUUUUGAUGCUCUUUGAGGAAAGAAGGUAAGUCCUUUUCUUCAUCGAGGUUUUCAAAACCAGUCCACAAAAACAUGCUCAAGAUA